RNAcentral lists this ribosomal RNA (791 nucleotides) under uncultured Actinomycetes bacterium. Its description in RNAcentral is "bacterial SSU rRNA". It matches the Rfam family "Bacterial small subunit ribosomal RNA", at positions 1 to 845 of the family's 1533-position model. The record is from RNAcentral. Lineage: Bacteria; Bacillati; Actinomycetota; Actinomycetes.
AGUGUCGUCGNAUCGAAUUCACGCGGCCGCCCUGGCGGAGAGGAGCAUGCGACGUCCGGCCCAAUUCGCCCUAUAGGGGGUCGCAUUAAUUGCACUUCGGGAUAGGCCUGGGAAACUGGGUCUAAUACCGGAUAUGACCUCGGAAUGCAUGUUCUGGGGUGGAAAGAUUUAUCGGUGCGAGAUGGGCCCGCGGCCUAUCAGCUUGUUGGUGAGGUAGCGGCUCACCAAGGCGACGACGGGUAGCCGACCUGAGAGGGUGACCGGCCACACUGGGACUGAGACACGGCCCAGAGUCCUACGGGAGGCAGCAGUGGGGAAUAUUGCACAAUGGGCGCAAGCCUGAUGCAGCGACGCCGCGUGCGGGAUGACGGCCUUCGGGUUGUAAACCGCUUUUGACAGGGACGAAGCGCAAGUGACUGUACCUGUAGAAUAAGGACCGGCCAACUACGUGCCAGCAGCCGCGGUAAUACGUAGGGUCCGAGCGUUGUCCGGAAUUACUGGGCGUAAAGAGCUUGUAGGCGGUUCGUCGCGUCGUUUGUGAAAACUUGGGGCUCAACCUUAAGCUUGCAGGCGAUACGGGCGGACUAGAGUACUUCAGGGGAGACUGGAAUUCCUGGUGUAGCGGUGAAAUGCGCAGAUAUCAGGAGGAACACCGGUGGCGAAGGCGGGUCUCUGGGAAGUAACUGACGCUGAGAAGCGAAAGCAUGGGUAGCAAACAGGAUUAGAUACCCUGGUAGUCCAUGCCGUAAACGGUGGGUACUAGGUGUGGGGCUCCUUCCACGGACUCCGUG